GUGCCAGCCGCCGCGGUAAUACGGAGGGUGCGAGCGUUAAUCGGAUUUAUUGGGCGUAAAGAGCUCGUAGGCGGUUCAACAAGUCGGUCGUAAAAGUUUAGGGCUCAACCCUAAAAUGUCGAUCGAUACUGUUGUGACUAGGAUACGGUAGAGGUGAAUGGAAUUCCGAGUGUAGCGGCGAAAUGCGUAGAUAUUCGGAGGAACACCAAUUGCGAAGGCAGUUCACUGGACCGUGAUCGACGCUGAGGAGCGAAAGCUAGGGGAGCAAACAGGAUUAGAUA
Molecule: ribosomal RNA, 281 nt
Filed under: uncultured bacterium
Lineage: Bacteria
Description: partial 16S ribosomal RNA
Rfam family: Bacterial small subunit ribosomal RNA
Source: RNAcentral